CAUGGAGAGAAAGAGCAACAGAAAGGAGCUGAGGAGAACGAGAGAGAAGCAGGACAGCAAAAACAGAAAGGAAACAAGAUAGAGAAAGAGAAACUGAUAACGGGCAGAAGACACUGAGGAAAAGAGAACACAGGAAUGUUGGUAGUGAAACUAGAGAUUGAGAGACGCAGCAGGAAAUAACAAGAGUAAGAAAGAAAGAAAGACUGAGAACGAUUAUAAGAAACUGAGAGGCUCACUGAGAAAUGGAAAAAGAGAAAGUGUAAGAAUGAGUUUAGGGCAAAGGACCUUCUAAACCUCUCCCUCUCCCUCUUCCUCUCUCCCCCUCUUUCUCUCCCACCUCCCCCUCUCCCUCUCUCCCCCUCUCCCUCUCUUUCUCUCUCUCUCUCCUUUCUCUACUCCCUAUCCCACACCCAUUAGGUUUCUACCGCUCUGGGCUGGGAGCCAAGACUUGCUUCUCUUCUGCCACCUCAGAUGACACCUGCUGGGAGAGAGGAGCGGGUGCCUGUAUACCAGAGCAGGAUGGGGUGCUCAGGCCUGGCAGAGAGACCUCUGUCUUCCCAAUACCUCUCAAACAGCAAGAAGGAAGCGGAGCAGUUUGGAAGCCGUGGCAGGCGCCGAGAGCGCCUCUGAACCGGAGCCUGGGAGGGGAGAGAAAGAAGAGGAGAAGCCAAGGGGCUGCUCUUCGGCCUCCUCCCCCAACCUUGGAGGAUUCCUCCCCUACCCCUCCAAGGCGGCUGCAGCCCCACCCCCCACCCCCGAAGAACGCGACCUCCUAGCCCGGACUCCGAGCUCCGCGGAUUCAGUCUCCCGGGCCAGAGUCCUUUCCACCCCACCCUAGUGCUUCCAGUCCCAACCACUGGAGACCAAGUCGGGUGAAGUGGGGAAAGGGAAGUAAGCACCCAACGAGGGACCCAGAAGGGCCUCAUGGCUCUACGAAGCUAGUAGGCUCUCUUCCCACUCGCUCUUCCAAGUACCCUCUCCCCGCCCCUGCGCGCGCGCCCUAUCUCGCCAGGGUUCAUCUGGGUCCUGGUCCACUCUGCCUUCCUGAGAACUGAAUCCACCGAACUCCUGGAGAAGGAGGUGCCCAGCCUCUUCUUCCUGCCUGGAUGUUUGCUUCUACUGCCCGACUCCCUCCCCAGAGGAGGAUUGGCUAGGGAGAUUGCCACUCGCAGUGUGCAAAUUGUGCAUCGCACAACUCCAGGGGGCACCAUUUCUCUUGUGGUCAUUGUAGGUUUCUGUAGCUGUUAUGACAGUUUUCCAGCAGAUGGCAGCCAAGCAUUUCGAGGUAGGGGUGCCUUUUCCUAAUUCAGCCAGCGUUGCUAUUUGGGCUAGUGCUUGGGGCUGGCUAGGCCCUCUGUGAGAUCCUAUUGGUGCCUGUUUCCCCCACCCUUGCCUCAGUCCUACUGGGAUCCGGAGGGACUCUAGAUUAGCAUUUGAGCAGAGACCUGUCUCCUAGGUUUUCUCUCUGGUCCCCCAGGUACUCACCCAUCCUCCCCCACAAAGGCUUCUGCUGUCCUGGAGCUGGUUUCAGGGUAAGAGUGCCUGUCAGGACACAAUCAGUGACCCACUGUGGAUUUUUUGUUAUUAUUUUAUUUUUUUUAUUUAUUUAUUUUGGCUUGGCUUGGCUUGGCUUAGCCUAGAAAGCGGCAAGGCAGCCAAGCCAGAGUGCAGAUCAGAGACUGUUUUCCUGCUUCCUGCUUCCUCUCCCAGGGCAGCAGUCUCACAGCAAUUAGGCCCUCUCCUACUUUCUCCAAGUGUAGACUGUCCAGGUGAUAGGAGGAAGAGAGGGGCUGGAAGCUGAACUUGUAGGGACAGAACCAAAAAGUUGCAAACUGACGGCACCUACUGGCAAUCAUCAAGACUGCAGAAGGUCUGGAGAGUUCUGGUGGGGCUCAGAUGCUGGGAUUCUCUUCCUCAUGUCCCUGGGGGAAGCCCAGCCCGUCCCUCAUUCAGAAUACUUCCCCCAGCCAUAUCCCCCUCCAUCAUCUUGAACCCAGUUCUGCCACCACCUUACUGUAUAAAGAUGGACACCACCCCUUGGAGCUUGAAUGUCCCUAACGAUAAAAUAGAGGUAGGUCAUUUCCACCUAUCCUGCCUCUUAAAGCUCUUGUGAGAGUAAAAUGGGACCAGAAAGGAUGGUUCUGAUACCAAUGCCAGACUUGCCCCAUAGACAGCAAACCUGGGAGAGCUAAAGGUGCUGGGACAUGGAGGAAGGAGUGCAGGAGAGGCUGGGUUGAAAGCAAAGAAGUACCUGCAGGUGAAGCAUGAGUGCAGGUGAUUGUGGGAAAUCCAGAAAGGCCUCCAGGUAAGACAGGUGCCCAGACUUCUACCCCAGCAUCCCCCAUCCAUCUGCUGGUGCCCCCCCCCAAUAUCACUAUAUGGGCUAGUUCCAAGGAAGGAGGAAAAUAGACAUAAGUAGGCCAUCCCCAAGCACCUCCCCAUCAUUCAUGCAACACAUAUUUACUGGAUGCUGAUUGUUUGCAGGCUUUGUGCCACAUACUGAGGACACAGAGAUGGCCAAGAUCACUCUCUGCCCUCAAGGAGCUCACUGCCUAGUGAGGGGAAACAGACGUAUAACUAAAAGGAGCCUAAGAAGUGUGCAGGUGCCCUGGGAGACAUCCAUAUGGGGCACCACAGGGACCCAGAUGCACAAGCGGUCAGUUCUACGUCCAAGGCAUGGAAAGACUUCAUGGAGAAGGUGACUUGUGAGCCAACCAUCUUCCAAUGUAGAGGAAAAAGCACAGCUAUUAGCAUCAGGCUGACCUGGAUUCCAAUCCCAGCUUUGCCACUAGACUCACUGGGGAAACUGAAACAAGUUACUCUGAGCUUCACUGCCCUUACCUGGAAAAUGGGGCUUGGUGAUAAGAAAGAAAGAAGGGCGAGGAGGGGAGAGAGAGAAAGAGUGGCUUGUGCAAAUUGCCCAGCCUACAAUGGGCACAUAGUGUUUGCUCCUUCCUAUCCCACCCUGCUGGAAACUGUAAUUCUCCCCUGGUGGCAGGACUUGUGCUCCCCCCAGCAGACUGGAGGCUCUCAGAGGACUGGGUUUAGUGUCCCCCCACCGGGGCUUGCUGGUGCUUAGGAGAGACUACCUAAAGGGUGCAGGAUUUGGAGUCAGAGGACCUGACUUCAAGUUACAGCACAGCCACUUAAGAGCUGUGUGACCUUGGAUACCCACCUAAUGUCUUGAAGGGUCAUUUCAUCCUCUAUUUUGAAAAGAAAAAAAAAAAAACCACCAAAGUUCUGAAUUCAGUUCUCCAGUGGUUUUUACAUGCUCUUGAAACAAAGAUUCAACUAAAAAAAAUUAACCCUAAAAACAUAAUAAAAACAAAAAAUAAAGAAAGAAAGAGCAAGAGAGGGAUAGUUGGGCUUAGCCCACAGGAUGAGUGCAAGAGAAAAUGAGAUGAUGGAUAAGAAAGGGUUCUGGAGGGGCGCCUGGGUAGUGCAGUCAUUAAGCGUCUGCCUUCGGCUCAGGGUGUGAUCCCGGCUUUCCGGGAUCAGAGUCCCACAUCGGGCUCCUCCAUUGGGAACCUGCUUCUUCCUCUCCCACUCCCCCUGCUGUGUUCCCUCUCUCGCUGGCUGUCUCUCUGUCACAUAAAUAAAUAAAAUCUUCAAAAAAAAAGAAAGAAAGAGUUCUGGAACCCAAGAAAUAGGGUACACAUGCACUCAUUGGUUUUCUCCACCUGACUGUUGCUUCCUUGAGGACUGAGAGCACCUCCUGGAGCCCCCAGAGGCAGAAACGUGGCCCUCCUUCCCUGUCAUCUUUUCCAACCCAGGACUCUACCAGAAAAGGAACCUCUGUGGGGCACCAGCCUGGCUCAUCUGGAAGAGCAUGUGACUCUUGAUCUCGGGGUUGUGAGUUCCAGCCCCACACUGGAUUAUUGAAAAAUAAAAUAAAUUUUAAAAAAAGAAAAGAAAAGAAAAAAGAAAAA
Ailuropoda melanoleuca (giant panda) is the source of this 3929-nucleotide long non-coding RNA. RefSeq lists it as uncharacterized. The transcript is spliced from 2 exons. NCBI's taxonomy places the organism in Eukaryota, Metazoa, Chordata, Mammalia, Carnivora, Ursidae. The record is from RefSeq and is a predicted model, not a curated record.